Molecule: non-coding RNA, 130 nt
Organism: Podarcis lilfordi (Lilford's wall lizard)
Lineage: Eukaryota; Metazoa; Chordata; Lepidosauria; Squamata; Lacertidae
Source: the annotation of a GenBank genome assembly
GAGUGUUUGUUGUGGGGGAGGAAGGGAAGGGAAAGGAGAAUGGAUUUGAUAUCCUGCUUUAUCACUACCCUAAGGAGUCUCAAAGCAGCCAACAUUCUCCUUUCCCUUCCUCCCCCACAACAAACACUCU